UACGAAGGGUGCAAGCGUUGUUCGGAUUUAUUGGGCGUAAAGCGCGCGUAGGCGGACCUGCAAGUCAGAUGUGAAAUCUCGGGGCUCAACCUCGAAACUGCGUCUGAAACUACAGGUCUAGAAUCUUGGAGGGGGAAGGGGAAUUUCGCAUGUAGGGGUAAAAUCCGUAGAUAUGCGAAGGAACACCAGAGGCGAAGGCGCCUUCCUGGACAAGUAUUGACGCUGAGGCGCGAAAGCGUGGGGAUCAAACAGG
Molecule: ribosomal RNA, 253 nt
Filed under: uncultured bacterium
Lineage: Bacteria
Also listed under: 1 other name
Description: partial 16S ribosomal RNA
Rfam family: Bacterial small subunit ribosomal RNA
Source: RNAcentral